GAUGAACGCUGGCGGCGUGCCUAAUACAUGCAAGUCGAGCGAACGGACGAGAAGCUUGCUUCUCUGAUGUUAGCGGCGGACGGGUGAGUAACACGUGGAUAACCUACCUAUAAGACUGGGAUAACUUCGGGAAACCGGAGCUAAUACCGGAUAAUAUUUUGAACCGCAUGGUUCAAAAGUGAAAGACGGUCUUGCUGUCACUUAUAGAUGGAUCCGCGCUGCAUUAGCUAGUUGGUAAGGUAACGGCUUACCAAGGCAACGAUGCAUAGCCGACCUGAGAGGCUGAUCGGCCACACGGGAACUGGAACACGGUCCAGACUCCUACGGGAGGCAACAGUAGGGAAUCUUCCGCAAUGGGCGAAAGCCUGACGGAGCAACGCCGAGUGAGAGAUGAAGGUCUUCGGAUCGUAAAACUCUGUUAUUAGGGAAGAACAUAUGUGUAAGUAACUGUGCACAUCUUGACGGUACCUAAUCAGAAAGCAACGGCUAACUACGUG
Molecule: ribosomal RNA, 497 nt
Filed under: uncultured bacterium
Lineage: Bacteria
Description: partial 16S ribosomal RNA
Rfam family: Bacterial small subunit ribosomal RNA
Source: RNAcentral